CUGAAUAACUACGCUGAUCGCACGGUCUCGCACUGGCGACGUAUCCUUCAAGUGUCUGCCUUAUCAACUGUCGAUGGUAGUUUAUAUGACUACCAUGGUUGUAACGGGUAACGGAGAAUAAGGGUUCGACUCCGGAGAGGGAGCCUGAGAAACGGCUACCACAUCCAAGGAAGGCAGCAGGCGCGCAAAUUACCCACUCUCAGAACGAGGAGGUAGUGACGAAAAAUAACGAGACAGUUCUCUAUGAGGUCUGUCAUCGGAAUGGGUACAAUUUAAACCCUUUAACGAGGAUCUAUUGGAGGGCAAGUCUGGUGCCAGCAGCCGCGGUAAUUCCAGCUCCAAUAGCGUAUAUAAAAGUUGUUGCGGUUAAAAAG
Molecule: ribosomal RNA, 374 nt
Filed under: Nematoda sp.
Lineage: Eukaryota; Metazoa; Nematoda
Description: SSU rRNA
Rfam family: Eukaryotic small subunit ribosomal RNA
Source: RNAcentral